GCUUACGGGCCAUACCACCCUGAACACGCCCGAUCUCGUCCGAUCUCGGAAGCUAAGCAGGGUCGGGCCUGGUUAGUACUUGGAUGGGAGACCGCCUGGGAAUACCAGGUGCUGUAAGCU
This 120-nucleotide ribosomal RNA is filed under the name Labrus bergylta (ballan wrasse). Lineage: Eukaryota; Metazoa; Chordata; Actinopteri; Labriformes; Labridae. The record is from RNAcentral.